GCUCUGAAGCAAUGAGACUUGACGGAAUUGCAAGAACCCUUCCCCAUCAAAACCAACAAGUGAUACUCUGUAACCUUCAGGAGGAUUGGUUAACCAUCUGUGCUUCUCAACAGAGGAAAUAGCACUCCCCAGAGGCUGAGGUACAUUUUGGGGCCAUCUGCUGGGGCCAGCAUCCUACACAAUGCCACCAAGAAAGUGCUCGAUAUAUCUGCAGCCGCCUUUGACAUCGUGGAAUAGAAGAAAUGAGAUCUCAGAUGACGGUCUUUGAUGCGUUAGCUCUGAACACGGAAUUCAGCUGCUACUCCAUUAAUACAAGACCCAGACAAGCACGGCCAUCCUGUGCCCUGUUCCCCCCAUCCCUCCCCCUGCAAACACCACAUUGUCAACAAAUUAAAAGCAAUCCGUCCAGGUUUCCAAA
Rattus norvegicus (Norway rat) is the source of this 418-nucleotide non-coding RNA. The record is from RefSeq and is a predicted model, not a curated record. Lineage: Eukaryota; Metazoa; Chordata; Mammalia; Rodentia; Muridae.